Phacochoerus africanus (Common warthog) is the source of this 2256-nucleotide long non-coding RNA. RefSeq lists it as uncharacterized. NCBI's taxonomy places the organism in Eukaryota, Metazoa, Chordata, Mammalia, Artiodactyla, Suidae. The transcript is spliced from 4 exons. The record is from RefSeq and is a predicted model, not a curated record.
CAAACGGUGUCUCUGAGGCAGAAAGCAAGGGAACUAGGGCAGGGAGGAGAAUUGUGUGCCUGAAAAAGGCAUAGCCAGUUGGAGGCAGAGGAAGGUGGAGAAGGGCAAAUUGAGCUCAUCUGAUGACCUCUGAGUUCAGUAAUAAAGUCUCCAGUUGCUAUAAGGGGAGGAGAAGACACCAGGGUAUGAAGGAGAGAAUUGGCAAGGCUGGGAAGAAAUAAGGAAGAGAGGUUUUACCUCUAGAUUAGACAACAUUAUAAGUGGCAGCACCUAGGGCAUUGCUUUGUCUCUGAAGAGGAAGCAGAGGCUCUUGGUUUUAUGGAGUCCUAAAAAUGCUGUGUCAUCCUCCUGCUCUCACCUUUCUGGAAGACCUGGCAGCAGCUUCCGCAUGCCUCACCCAAGACUUCCCAUUCCCUCUCAGAAAAACAGAUGCUACCUGUGUUUGACCCUAAUCACCCGGUUGAUCUUUCUUCCUUGAAAGACUGGCAUAAUCUAAACUCUCCAAAUUGAAAUCAAAGAAUAGUCAGCAAUAAGCACGGGGCAGUUACAGCUGUGGUUCAUGGGAAGCAAAGCAGGUUCCCCUUGCCUUGAAAUGUAAACGUUUGACAUGUCAUCUUCUCCAGCGUCGUCUUGGUCAAUGCAAUUGACCACUGCUGUCAUUGUCUUUAGAGGUUUUGACUAUCUGAUUUAAACAUUUAUUGAGCGUCCUCUUCCCCACCCAGAGAUCAGCAAAUGAUUCUGACAGAAUAGUUCUAAGGCAAAAUAAGUAUAAAAGAAGGGCAAUUUGGCGGCAUCCAUGCAUAUGUAAAAUACACAUCCUCUUUGACAUGCGAAUUCAUCUAGGAAUUUAUUCUACAGAUAGGCUUAUACAUUUACUCAGAGACAGGUGGAUUUGAAAUGCUCAGUGCAGCAUUUUUGUGUAAUCUCAAAAAUUGAGAACAACCUAAAUAUUUAUCAAAAGGGAGUACCUGUUUAUACCAUAGAAUCCCCUAAAGCUGCAUUUCUCAACCUAGGGCGAUUUUGCAAUCCAGGGAACACUUGGCAAUUUCUGGAGAGGUUUUUGGUUUUCAUUACUAGGGAGAUACUACUGCCACUAGUGGGUAGAGGCCAGAGAUGAUGCUAGACACCCUACUCUGCACAUGACCACCCUCCAAAACAAAGAAUUAUCUGGCCCACAACUUCCAUAGUGCCAAAACUGAGGAAGCCUGGCUUUGCAAGUACUAAAGAGAAUGAGCUUGUCUGCAUGGGCUGAGAAGGAUCCCUCUUGAAGACCCAUUAUUUGGAGAAGCAAGGCACUGUCUAUUUUCAUUUGGGUAACUCAAGAGCAUAAAGGCACUUCUGCAACACAUGCACACAUGUACAUACCCCCAGGGUAUACGUGUAUACUAGUAUGUUAUAUAUGCAUCUAUGCUUCUGUAUUUGAGAAGUAUUCCUGGGAAAACAAACUUCAAUAUUUCCUCACAGUAGUUACUUCUGGAGAGAGGUCUGAGAACCUGGAGAUCUGUGGUAGGGGUUAAACAUUGCACUUUACGCAUUUUUGUAUCAUUUGAAAUUUUCAACACAUGAAUUUGUUUUCAGUUGAAUUUUAGACUUUGUGGUAAUUGUUGUCAAGUACAGUGGGUAAAGGUAAAAUGGGACAGUGGCUGGUAUGUCUUCUUUUCUGCUCCUCUCCUUUCCCUCCAAAAAGGCAUCCUCCCACUCAACAUAUCAGAACUCUUAGCACAGCAAAAAGCUCAGGCAAAACUCGGCUAUCUGUAAUUUUUACUUUAACAAAAAUUUAAUUAAAGUGUAAACUCUGUUAGGAAGACUUACAUUUUCAAUCCCAUUUUUUCACAUUCUACCAUGAAAUAAAUGUUUGUUUCAGGUGUAGUGGGAUUUUCAGUAUAGCGUAUGUUCUGAAGAUGGGAAGACGGUUUCAGAGCUGCUGAAAUGAUGCCAGCGAUGGAAGCAUCUUUUGCCUAAAUCUUUGAGCGGUUUUCUUUGGGGAAUGUGUCACUUUUCUUGAAUGCUCAUGAAUUCGCAAAACUUUAAUUCAGUGAUGUCUACAACAAGCUCCAAGGAAGCAUAGAGUUUUGGGAGGUUCACUUUUGUUUCCAAAAGUUUUCAAUUAACUCUAAAAUUAAAACCUCUGUCUCUAAUUUCAAGACUAAAUCAUGACAUUUUGUAGUUAACUGAUGGUUAUUCCGUAUGACAAGAAACACUAAAAAUGUUAAGUUCUAUUGUAAUUGAAAAAAAAAUACCCAAUAGAUAAAUAAA